This 548-nucleotide ribosomal RNA is filed under the name uncultured Glomeromycotina. Its description in RNAcentral is "SSU rRNA". It matches the Rfam family "Eukaryotic small subunit ribosomal RNA", at positions 548 to 1097 of the family's 1831-position model. The record is from RNAcentral. Lineage: Eukaryota; Fungi; Glomeromycota.
UUGGAGGGCAAGUCUGGUGCCAGCAGCCGCGGUAGUUCCAGCUCCAAUAGCGUAUAUUAAAGUUGUUGCAGUUAAAAAGCUCGUAGUUGAAUUUCGGGGUUAGUAGGUUGGUCGUGCCUCAGGUAUGUACUGAUCUCACUGAUUCCUCCUUCCUGAUGAACCGUAAUGCCAUUAAUUUGGUGUUGCGGGGAAACUGGACUGUUACUUUGAAAAAAUUAGAGUGUUUAAAGCAGGCUAACGCUUGAAUACAUUAGCAUGGAAUAAUAGAAUAGGACAGAGGUUCUAUUUUGUUGGUUUCUAGGACCGCUGUAAUGAUUAAUAGGGAUAGUCGGGGGCGUCCGUAUUCAAUUGUCAGAGGUGAAAUUCUUGGAUUUAUUGAAGACGAACUACUGCGAAAGCAUUCGCCAAGGAUGUUUUCAUUAAUCAGUGAACGAAAGUUAGGGGAUCGAAGACGAUCAGAUACCGUCGUAGUCUUAACCAUAAACUAUGCCGACUAGGGAUCGGAUGAUGUUAAUUUUUUAAUGACUCAUUCGGCGCCUUACGGGAAA